This 496-nucleotide ribosomal RNA is filed under the name uncultured bacterium. Its description in RNAcentral is "partial 16S ribosomal RNA". It matches the Rfam family "Bacterial small subunit ribosomal RNA", at positions 28 to 507 of the family's 1533-position model. The record is from RNAcentral.
GAUGAACGCUGGCGGCGUGCCUAAUACAUGCAAGUCGAGCGAACGUACGAGAAGCUUGCUUUUCUGAUGUUAGCGGCGGACGGGUGAGUAACACGUGGAUAACCUACCUAUAAGACUGUGAUAACUUCGGAAACCGGGCCCUACUCCGGAAAAAUUUUUGAACCUUAUGGUUCCAAACUUAAAAUCGGUUUUUCUGUUACUUUUAUGUGGCACCGCGCCGCAUUAGCUAGUUUGUAAGGUAACGGUUUACCAAGGCAACGGUGCAUAGCCGACCUGAGAGGGUGAUCGGCCACACUGGAAGUGAGACAGGGUCCAGACACCUAGGGGAGGCAGCAGUAGGGAAUCUUCCGCAAUGGGCGAAAGCCGGACGGAGCAAAGCCGCGUGAGUGAUGAAGGUCUUAGGAUCGGAAAACUCUGUUAUUAGGGAAGAACAUAUGUGUAAGUAACUGUGAACAUCUUGACGGUACCUAAUCAGAAAGCCACGGCUAACUACGUG